This is a long non-coding RNA of Marmota flaviventris (yellow-bellied marmot), 415 nucleotides long. RefSeq lists it as uncharacterized. Lineage: Eukaryota; Metazoa; Chordata; Mammalia; Rodentia; Sciuridae. The record is from RefSeq and is a predicted model, not a curated record.
AGUCCAUCCCUGCUCCCUAGAAGUGCUUCCUCAUUGGCUCUUCACUGGGUCUGAAGACACAGAGAGAAGGCCUAGGUCCCGCCCGGGGACCGAAGAGUUAGGGUUGGAAAGAGCUCGAUUGUUCAUGAGCCUCUUUUCUGGCAGUUCCGGAAUGGUCUUGUCCCUGGGUGGACUUCUAGGCAGCUCUCCUCAGGUCAUGAGUCCAGCACUGUUGGUCUCAGUCCUCUUCGCUGCCCUGCAAAGAGUCCAGAAAACCCUAGGCUGACCAUGGCAGAUGAGCCUUCCUUCAACAAUAACCAACAAUUCCAAACCGAGACACGCUUUUCUGAGUCCAUUCCCAGAUUGCAGCCUUGACUGAUGAGUGACACUUCCAGACUCUUCCAGCCCAACAACUCUUAGCACCAGGGAGUUUGGA